CAUGCUUACAAUAUGUAAGUUAUUUUAUUUAUUUCAUAUUAAUGAAUCAAUGAGAUGAAAAUGAAGUGUAAAUAUACGAGGAUAGAAAUCGAAUGUUCAGUCCUGAUCUUGAGUUCAAAACUUCAUGCUGUAUUGCUUGUGAUGAAGUUUCACCGAUCUGCAGUUGGUUCCUUCUAUGGAUCCUUAUGCAUAGUUGGUAGAUUCUGAAACAAAGAGAGCUUGUGAACAUGAGCAGGGAAUAUUUUCAUGUGUCACUUGUGGGAUUUUUUGUUUUGCUUAUGUUGCUAUUGAAGCAGCUGCUCAUUAUCUAUUGUUAGCCAGUUGCAUCGCAUUUAAGAAUUGGGGUGCUGGUGAUGAUGACUACAAUCACAUCAGACAUCCAAAGUCUCCCAACAGAAACCUUGGUUCAGGGAUGGUAAGAAAGAAACAUGUAAUAUACAUUCGAUCUCUGUGGCAAAGCAUGUGUGUUGGGUCAAGACCUGAUAUGAUUCUUCAUCUGAUUCAAGCACUGAGCUAAAGAAAGUUAGAGGUAUCAUGCAGUUGCUGCAGGCCAAGCCCAUGUUCCACUCUCUCUGACUGCUGAGACUCUAGCUUCCCCUGUGGUCCAUGUGAUCAUGGCGGCGGUGGUAAGACAAAACGGAAGUUUCUGGAAGUGUUGGACAAUUAAGUUACAAAAUGAUUGAAAUAAAAAGCAUGACUUGGAAAAUGCCAACAUCCAAAGGCUAGUAAUCCUACUGCAAAAAUUAACUCUACUGGAUUUGGUUUACAGAAGGUCAUUAAAGUUGAGAAGGAAAUGGAAAAGUCUAAGAUGUAAAAUCCGCUAUUACAUUCAAACAACGCAUCUAAGUCUGGAAAGCCGAAUAUGAAAGGACUAUCGUUGACAAAGUUGUUCACCCCAGUACUGUUUUCGCAGAAUAGUAGUAUUAUGUAUGCCUAGUUUGCUGAUGGUGAUUUUCUGGUGCAACAACAUUCACUGUUGGAUGUAGUGCAUGAGAACUUGUAGUGCUCUUUUUUUUGUUAAUCUAUUUAUGUUGAAAAUAUGGCAGUGACUUAUGGUUUGUACUUUGAUAUGAUCAUUUGCAGGUCUGGUAAGAAAGAAACAAGGUCCUUUUGAUAUGCCAAUGAUAUGCAAAUAUGUGCGGAUCAGAUUCAAUCUAUGUGCCAAAGUAUGUGUGCUGGUCAAAAUGAAUCUGAUUUUUCAUCUGAUUCAAGCACUGAGCCAAAGAAAGUGAAUUAUCAUGCAAAGAAAGAAACAAGGUCCUUCUGAUAUGCCAAUGAUAUGAAAAUAUGUGCGGAUCAGAUUCAAUCUAUGUGCCAAAGUAUGUGUGCUAGGUCAAAAUGAAUCUGAUUCUUCAUCUGAUUGAAGCACUGAGCCAAAGAAAGUGAGUUAUCACGCUGUUGCUGCUGGCCAAGUCCAUGUUCCACUUUCUAUGAGUGCUGAGACUGUAGCAUCCCCUAUGAUCCAUGUGAUCACGACAGCAGUGGCAAGACAUUCCUAAGGUUGAGACUUUUGCUUGAGGACAAUAUAAGGGAGUCAAUCUUUUGGAGAAGUAUGGCCUAAGCCCUGGUACAUUGAAGGGAGAACAACACAAGGAAAUAGGGGGAUGAAAAUGUUGGCAAAAUCUUCAUUAACUUUGGGAGCAUGGAUGACAUUUCUGAAGUUUCUGGUGGAAAGGAUGGAAAUGAUUCUGAGUAUGAGCUUUUGGUUUGCAGUCCAUCCAAAAUUGAGGUUAGUAAAUCUUUUUUGU
This is a non-coding RNA of Sesamum indicum (sesame), 1748 nucleotides long. The record is from RefSeq and is a predicted model, not a curated record. Lineage: Eukaryota; Viridiplantae; Streptophyta; Magnoliopsida; Lamiales; Pedaliaceae.